RNAcentral lists this long non-coding RNA (590 nucleotides) under Homo sapiens (human). Its description in RNAcentral is "non-protein coding LINC01088:38". The record is from RNAcentral. Lineage: Eukaryota; Metazoa; Chordata; Mammalia; Primates; Hominidae.
AGAUAUCUGGAUGACCAGCUGCAGAAAGGAGCUACUCAUUCCAGGGCCUCCUCUCUGCUGAGAGCAGCAGACAUCAGGAUGACCAGCUGCAGAGAGGAGCUACCCACUCCAGGGCCUCCUCUUUGAUGAGAGCUGCAGAGACAGUGGGACAACCUGUCUGCAGAGAAAAGGAAUACAACAUGUUUAAGACCACAGAACAUCUGCAUAGGCUGUAAAUUUCGUUGAAUGAUGGAUGCAAAGAUGGAAGACAGAUGGAUAGAGGAAAAGACAGAAUCAGAUACUGGAUGAGUUAGUACUGCUGCCUGUGCUUCAGAGCUGUCUUAUUACCACAAGGCCGGCAAGCAUCAAUGUCCCCACAUCCCCCUCUGCCUCCCCCUGAAAUGUACCGAUUUAUAUGAAAAUUAAGAUUACAAAUUAAAGCCUGGCUAUCCUGGAGUUUUCCAGUUCAUCAGCCAUCCAAUAAAAAUGAUGUCAAGCCUGUAUGCAUAAUUCCCGGAAGAUUACUUUCGUCCUUACAGCUAAGCCCUGUCCCUGAUAUGAAAGAUCUCUAUCCACUUUUAUUGAAAUAAAGAACUAACAUCAUAAUCCCA